UUGGGCUUCCAAGUUCCAACCAUCUUACCCUUCCGUGCUGCGCUCGCCAUCGCAAUCGCAAUCGCAAUCGCAAUCGCAUCCCUCUCCAGUCUGACGCUCGCUCGAACUUCCCAGUUCCGACGCCUCUUGCCGCGCUCAUCCCAUUCCUCUCUUUCGUUGCCUCCCGAUCGAUCUCUUCUGAGCCCUGAUGGGUGACCAGAUCAGGCAUCAGCUGUGAUGAUUUGCCUUCGUCGAAUCCGAUUCCAGCCCGACCGACGACUUAGAGCGCCCCCUCACCUUGUUCUCCUCGUGCCGCCUCCUAGGUCAUCAUCGCCACCCUGUCCUCGUGCCGCCUCCUAGGCCACCAUCGCCACCCUGUCCUCGUCGUCAUACGCUCUGAAGGAGGCGGCGGCGGCGGCGGCUGGAAGUUAGCAGACAUCGAUUCAGGCGCGGCGCAGGAGAGAAUUUGUUCUUGGCUUCUCAAGGCACGGACACUGCUCGCCGAGGUGGCUUCGCCUCUCAUGAAGCCUGGACAGCGGGGGAAGCAUGCUACCGAUAAGGAUCCUGGGGACAUAGCCGUCGAAGAAGAGAUCUUUAUGGCCUCAGAGAUAACGGUGAAUCGGGACACUCCAGAUGGGUAUCUUUCGUUUUGCUGCUACCAUCUCCAUCGAGCAAUUUGGGAGGAGUGUGCAGGAUGAGCGGUUUGAUGGGGCGGAAGAUGCAGAAGAUAUUCGAAGCGCUUGCCCCAUCUACCACUAGGAAUUACGGUAGGAGCUUGCUAGAGUAUUGCUGCUUUAGUGAUAUAUGGUAGACCAGCUUAUUGGCAUUACUUAAUGAUCGGGUUGAGAUUUGCAAAUGGUCAUCAGUUUAGAGACUCUUUCUUGAGAAUACAUAUCUACAUUUUAUGACUCAAGCUGAUAUACAGAAUAUUAAAAUGUUGAAGUUUCUCGGUGAAGAAAUGUUGAACCAUUAUUAUGAGAUGUGGUGGAGUGACCCCAAAAUUCCUUGUCUCAAGCCUUCGCCAUUGAUGAUUCUUUUAGUUUUUCUAAUACCAGAUUCUCCGAACAAAAUAGAUAUAAAAACUUUUCUUAAAAGGAAAGAUCUGGUUAGGUAGUUGUCAGUAAACAGAUGUUCAAAUAUAGUAAAGAUAGUGAAUAAUUAUGAGUUGGAAAAAUGAACAGAAAAACUGAAGUACUUGCUUAAACAUGAAUUAUAUGACAUGAAUGAGAGAUCAACACAAUAUUAAUUAGAAACAAGAACUCCAACAAGAGAUAUAGGAAAUUUUCUCGUUGGAAUUGAAAGAUUUGGAGACAAAGAAUCAAUUUGUUGAUGUUGGUGGUUGUUGAAGUGAUGGAACAAUAAGGAGAAAUAGUAACUUUUAGCCAUGAGCCUCAGACUCACCUUGAAUUGCCUUAGGUUGCAUUUGGUUCACACAAAUCACUCUUGAAUGUUGAUUAUCAAUCCAAUCAAUUCCAUUGUUUGGUUUGUAUUUAUUAAGGUGGAAUGAAAUUAAUAAAUCCCUCAAGAAUCAGAAUCAACAUUCUGCACCUAAUUUCUCAAAUUUACUCAUCCAAAUCCAACUCAUGCCCUCCUUGUGUACCUCCCCCAUAGUUGCCGUUGAAUGCCACCCUCUUGUACUCCCCCCACUACCUCCAUUGGUCAUGGAACCCACCUUGUGUAUUUCUCCAUCUCUUCCUACACCUUCCUUAUUGAGCUUGAAUCCGCAUCCUCACCAAGUGUUAGGAUGUAUACUAAAAGCCUAGCUUUUGGUAUAAACAUUUAUUAGAAAUAAA
Molecule: RNA transcript, 1772 nt
Organism: Zingiber officinale
Lineage: Eukaryota; Viridiplantae; Streptophyta; Magnoliopsida; Zingiberales; Zingiberaceae
Exons: 5
Source: RefSeq, a predicted model, not a curated record